GCGCCAGUAGCCCAACUGGAUAGAGCGUCGGCCUCCGGAGCCGAAGGCUGUGGGUUCGAAUCCCGCCUGGCGCACCA
RNAcentral lists this transfer RNA (77 nucleotides) under bacterium. RNAcentral describes it as "tRNA-Arg". It matches the Rfam family "tRNA". Rfam says of the family: Transfer RNA (tRNA) molecules are approximately 80 nucleotides in length. RNAcentral also lists the same sequence under 1 other name. The record is from RNAcentral.